ACACGACUACAUUAGAUACCCCUGUAGUCCUAGCCGUAAACGAUACUCGCUAGGUGUCGGCCACGGUGCGACCGUUGUCGGUGCCGUAGGGAAGCCGUGAAGCGAGCCACCUGGGAAGUACGGCCGCAAGGCUGGAAACUUAAAGGAAUUGGCGGGGGAGCACAACAACGGGUGGAGCUUGCGGUUUAAUUGGAUUCAACGCCGGAAAUCUUACCGGGACCGACAGCAACAUGAAGGCCAAGCUGAAGACUUUGCCGGAUUAGCUG
Molecule: ribosomal RNA, 266 nt
Filed under: uncultured archaeon
Lineage: Archaea
Description: partial 16S ribosomal RNA
Rfam family: Archaeal small subunit ribosomal RNA
Source: RNAcentral